This 372-nucleotide ribosomal RNA is filed under the name uncultured eukaryote. RNAcentral's name for it is "partial 18S ribosomal RNA". It matches the Rfam family "Eukaryotic small subunit ribosomal RNA", at positions 592 to 976 of the family's 1831-position model. The record is from RNAcentral.
CAAUAGCGUAUAUUAAAGUUGUUGCAGUUAAAAGCUCGUAGUUGAAUUUUUGCUUGCCGCCGAUGUCGGAACUUCCGUACGUUCGGCGGCGUGCAUCCUUGGGUGGAACCUGUGUGGCAUUAGGUUGUCGUGCAGGGGAUGCUCAUCGUUUACUGUGAAAAAAUUAGAGUGUUCAAAGCAGGCUUACGCCGUUGAAUAUAUUAGCAUGGAAUAAUAAGAUAGGACCUUGGUACUAUUUUGUUGGUUUGCGCACCGAGGUAAUGAUUAACAGGGACAGUUGGGGGUAUUCGUAUUCCAUUGUCAGAGGUGAAAUUCUUGGAUUUCUGGAAGACGAACUACUGCGAAAGCAUUUACCAAGGAUGUUUUCAUUAA